GGCCCGGACGCAGCUAUAAUGCAGUCGACGCUUCUUUCCUCCCGAGUGCUUGCACUCAAUUGGAAAGAGGAGUGGCGGACGGGUGAGUAACACGUGGGUAACCUACCCAUCAGAGGGGGAUAACACUUGGAAACAGGUGCUAAUACCGCAUAACAGUUUAUGCCGCAUGGCAUAAGAGUGAAAGGCGCUUUCGGGUGUCGCUGAUGGAUGGACCCGCGGUGCAUUAGCUAGUUGGUGAGGUAACGGCUCACCAAGGCCACGAUGCAUAGCCGACCUGAGAGGGUGAUCGGCCACACUGGGACUGAGACACGGCCCAGACUCCUACGGGAGGCAGCAGUAGGGAAUCUUCGGCAAUGGACGAAAGUCUGACCGAGCAACGCCGCGUGAGUGAAGAAGGUUUUCGGAUCGUAAAACUCUGUUGUUAGAGAAGAACAAGGACGUUAGUAACUGAACGUCCCCUGACGGUAUCUAACCAGAAAGCCACGGCUAACUACGUGCCAGCAGCCGCGGUAAUACGUAGGUGGCAAGCGUUGUCCGGAUUUAUUGGGCGUAAAGCGAGCGCAGGCGGUUUCUUAAGUCUGAUGUGAAAGCCCCCGGCUCAACCGGGGAGGGUCAUUGGAAACUGGGAGACUUGAGUGCAGAAGAGGAGAGUGGAAUUCCAUGUGUAGCGGUGAAAUGCGUAGAUAUAUGGAGGAACACCAGUGGCGAAGGCGGCUCUCUGGUCUGUAACUGACGCUGAGGCUCGAAAGCGUGGGGAGCAAACAGGAUUAGAUACCCUGGUAGUCCACGCCGUAAACGAUGAGUGCUAAGUGUUGGAGGGUUUCCGCCCUUCAGUGCUGCAGCAAACGCAUUAAGCACUCCGCCUGGGGAGUACGACCGCAAGGGUUGAAACUCAAAGGAAUUGACGGGGGCCCGCACAAGCGGUGGAGCAUGUGGUUUAAUUUCGAAGCAACGCGAAGAACCUUACCAGGUCUUGACAUCCUUUGACCACCUCUAGAGAUAGAGCUUUCCCUUCCGGGAC
This 1021-nucleotide ribosomal RNA is filed under the name Enterococcus faecalis. RNAcentral describes it as "bacterial SSU rRNA". It matches the Rfam family "Bacterial small subunit ribosomal RNA", at positions 32 to 1027 of the family's 1533-position model. The record is from RNAcentral. Lineage: Bacteria; Bacillati; Bacillota; Bacilli; Lactobacillales; Enterococcaceae.